Molecule: long non-coding RNA, 849 nt
Organism: Triticum aestivum (bread wheat)
Lineage: Eukaryota; Viridiplantae; Streptophyta; Magnoliopsida; Poales; Poaceae
Exons: 3
Source: RefSeq, a predicted model, not a curated record
ACAGGGAAAAGAAGCAGCAGUGGCAGCGCUUGUCUCGGUGGGGGUGGAGCUGCUCGGAAGAUGGAAGGGGACUGUCGACUUGCGGGACGAGCAGGCCGGCCCUUGUUCGCCCUAGAGACACUUCCGACGCCGCAAGCCAGGGCAGCUCGACCACAGAAGCCCGCAGGAGCAGUAAACCAUGGAGGAUUUGGAGGCUGCUCACGUUUGUAACAGUAAACCAUGGAGAAUAUGGGGGAUGCACGACCUUAGAGCAGCAAACCAUGUCAGGCAAGGAAGGAAGAUGCAUGAAGUUCCUGUUUUCUUGGGUGACCUCAGUUUCCUAAUGAUAUCUUCAUAGCAUACAGAUGGUUGCCAAUUAGCUUAUAUCAGUUUCCUAAUAAUAUCUUCAUAGCAUACUUUUUUGGGAUAAUGGUGACCAAAACGCCCCGGUUUCUCUAAUUUGUAGGAAUGAAAAUCUUGAAUUGCUUUUGAUGGAUUUCUCACUCAUCAAAAUAAAGCCACCAGCCUUCACAUAGAGGUUGAUUAAUCACUUUGGCCAGUCGUUCUGUUUUUCUAUGUUGCGGAAUAGGAAUGUCGUAUGAUCAUUUAUUUCCUCUGCGUCAUUUUAAGUUCUACAUCUUAUCUCUUAUUAUGAUAAAUCAUCAAUAUCAUACGUCUAUUACUCUUCCUGAUUCUACAUAUUGUUUUCAGUCAUAGAUUUAGAGUGUUUUUUUUCAUGUUCUUGCAAAGCAGAUGUGUUUAAAAAACUAUAGCUAUUUUACUGCUUUUCGGAUGCUAUGAAAUGCUUAUACUAAAUUUCACAAAUAUGUUCAUGUCUUUCUAUAUUUAUACAAUGUAUGUUGUGUUGCU